AUUGAACGCUAGCGGCAGGCCUAACACAUGCAAGUCGAGCGAGUGGCGGACGGGUGAGUAAUAUAUGGGAACGUGCCUGGUGGCGGGGGAUAACUACUGGAAACGGUAGCUAAUACCGCAUACCAUCGGAUGUGCCCAUAUGGGAUUAGCUAGUUGGUGGGGUAAAGGCGCACCUAGGCGACGAUCCCUAGCUGGUGUGAGAGGACGACCAGCCACACUGGAACUGAGACACGGUCCAGACUCCUACGGGAGGCAGCAGUGGGGAAUAUUGGACAAUGGGGGCAAGCCUGAUGCAGCCAUGCCGCGUGUAUGAAGAAGGCCUUCGGGUUGUAAAGUACUUUCAGCGGGGAGGCGGUACCCGCAGAAGAAGCACCGGCUAACUCCGUGCCAGCAGCCGCGGUAAUUC
This 406-nucleotide ribosomal RNA is filed under the name uncultured bacterium. RNAcentral describes it as "partial 16S ribosomal RNA". It matches the Rfam family "Bacterial small subunit ribosomal RNA", at positions 30 to 526 of the family's 1533-position model. The record is from RNAcentral.